Molecule: long non-coding RNA, 1125 nt
Organism: Cyprinus carpio carpio
Lineage: Eukaryota; Metazoa; Chordata; Actinopteri; Cypriniformes; Cyprinidae
Source: Ensembl
ACUACAUUUUUCCAAAGUGAGUUUGCCCAACACAUAUAAGUGACAUUCAUGUAUUAGAAGCUCUGUAGUAGGACAGACUAGUCUAAUAGUCUUCUGUGCUUCGACUGACGUGGUUCUUCACGCUGCAACUGAUGUCUCCAUCAGCUCCUCAUCCAGAUCAAUGCUGCUGUUUCCAUCCAUCGAGUGGAUCUCCAUUCAGGAGUCCAGUUGGAUGAGGCUGAUCCCCUCAGAGGGGCAGAACACCCUCAUCACCCACUGGAGGAGCAGAUGAUUGACACUUCCACUGAGCCAAUAGGAGCUGGAGGGGAGGGGACACAUGUUUUACUGUGUGCUACAGGAAUAAAAACCUUCCCAGAAUUCAACUGAUUCAUCUGCAUGAGAGUGAGAUCUUUGGAGAACAUGAGACUGGAAUGAGUCUGAGUGAGAGUUUCUGUACCUUCAGCAAUCACUUGAAGAUCUCUAGAUGUUUCUGAGCCGCCUGAGCAGAGACUGUUAAUCUGUAAUUCCCAGAAUCUGCUCUGAUCACACGGUUUAUUAUCAGAAAGCCAUUAAUGACUGUCACUUCAGGUCUGUUAUUAUAAAGAUCACAUUCCCUCAUCCUUAUCCUGCCAUAUUUUACUCUACAAACUGGAUCAUCUUGUGUGUUGUUGUUUAUUCUCUUUAUUAUCUUCAGCUCAUAUUCUUGAGCAUCCCGCACCAUCAGCAGAUUGAGUUUGUGUCCCAGAGCUGCAUGACAGUGUUCAGAUUGACCAAAACUGCAGAACUGAUCCAGACCUGAAGAGAGAGAGAGAGAGAGAGAGAGAGACAUUGUACUAACACUUACAUACUGUACAGUCAGUGAAACUGCUGAUAUAAAGGUCUGUCUCAUCAUUAAUUUAAAACAGGCACAAAUUGCAUUAGAUUGAUAAUCUUCCAGAUCAAAGAAAUUAAUUAACAAGUGAUGAACAUUCAUGUCUUGAUCUUUAACACCUGAAGUUAGAGAGAGAGAGAGAGAGAGAGAGAGAGAGAGAUUUAAACAUUUAAUAAAAAAAUUAACUCCACUUACCAGUAACAAAUUAUUUUAAAACACUAAUUUCUUACAUCAAUUGAGUAUUGAGUACCUACAUCAAUUGACCUCAAACAAAG